GACUUUCAGCGAUGGAUGUCUCGGAUCUCGUAACGAUGAAGGACGCAGCUAGCUGCGAUACGCAGUGCGACUUGCAAACUUCUGAGAAUCAUUAGAUUUUUGAACGCAAAAGGCACUCUUAGGCUCUGCUUGAGAGUAUGUUCACUUCAGUGGUU
This is a ribosomal RNA of Condylostylus longicornis, 155 nucleotides long. RefSeq annotates it as 5.8S ribosomal RNA. The record is from RefSeq and is a predicted model, not a curated record. The transcript has a single exon. Lineage: Eukaryota; Metazoa; Arthropoda; Insecta; Diptera; Dolichopodidae.